Molecule: ribosomal RNA, 254 nt
Filed under: uncultured bacterium
Lineage: Bacteria
Description: partial small subunit ribosomal RNA
Rfam family: Bacterial small subunit ribosomal RNA
Source: RNAcentral
AGGACGAACGCUGGCGGCGUGCUUAACACAUGCAAGUCGAGCGGAAAGGCCCUUCGGGGUACUCGAGCGGCGAACGGGUGAGUAACACGUGAGUAAUCUGCCCCUAGCUCUGGGAUAGCUCCGGGAAACCGGGAUUAAUACCGGAUACGACCACCUUAGACAUCUUUUGUGGUGGAAAGAAUUUCGGCUAGGGAUGAGCUCGCGGCCUAUCAGCUUGUGGUGGGGUAACGCCUACAAGGCGACGACGGGUAGCC